This 576-nucleotide small RNA is filed under the name Pan troglodytes (chimpanzee). RNAcentral's name for it is "retained intron". The record is from RNAcentral. Lineage: Eukaryota; Metazoa; Chordata; Mammalia; Primates; Hominidae.
GUUUUCUUUGGUCUUCCCUCCUUCCCCCCUCGGCCAAAAUGCAGGGGGCAGGAGUGUUGACAAUUAAUUGGUGAACUCUCCUAAAAAAAUGGAGGCAGAGAAAGACUCUGGAAGAAGAUUGCGCCCGAUUGACCGCCAGCGAUACGACGAGAACGAGGACUUGUCGGACGUGGAGGAGAUCGUCAGCGUCCGCGGCUUCAGCCUGGAGGAGAAGCUUCGCAGCCAGCUGUACCAGGGGGACUUCGUGCACGCCAUGGAGGGCAAAGAUUUCAACUAUGAGUACGUACAGAGAGAAGCUCUCAGGGUUCCCCUGAUAUUUCGAGAAAAGGAUGGACUGGGAAUUAAGAUGCCUGACCCUGAUUUCACAGUCCGAGACGUCAAACUCCUAGUGGGUAAGUCGCUUGCCGUGUGUGUGGCUCAGACAUGCUGAAGUAGGGAAGGGGGAAGAGGUGGUCACCACCUGCCCAUUUAGACUUUUAACUGCCUCUGAAAACAAAGUCCCCACGGGAGGAGGCAGGAGCAGGUGUGAGCUGCAACCGUUUCAUUCUGGAGAACAGGUAGGGUUGCAAAGUCUUA